AGACCCGAAACCCGGUGAUCUAGCCAUGGGCAGGUUGAAGGUUGGGUAACACUAACUGGAGGACCGAACCGACUAAUGUUGAAAAAUUAGCGGAUGACCUGUGGCUGGGGGUGAAAGGCCAAUCAAACCGGGAGAUAGCUGGUUCUCCCCGAAAGCUAUUUAGGUAGCGCCUCGUGAAUUCAUCUCCGGGGGUAGAGCACUGUUUCGGCUAGGGGGCCAUCCCGGCUUACCAACCCGAUGCAAACUGCGAAUACCGGAGAAUGUUAUCACGGGAGACACACGGCGGGUGCUAACGUCCGUCGUGAAGAGGGAAACAACCCAGACCGCCAGCUAAGGUCCCAAAGUCAUGGUUAAGUGGGAAACGAUGUGGGAAGGCCCAGACAGCCAGGAUGUUGGCUUAGAAGCAGCCAUCAUUUAAAGAAAGCGUAAUAGCUCACUGGUCGAGUCGGCCUGCGCGGAAGAUGUAACGGGGCUAAACCAUGCACCGAAGCUGCGGCAGCGAACGUAUCACUUAAAGCGAUUCAGCGGGUUACGAUUGACGGAGCGAAGCGACGUCAAAGCGUAUACAAAGUCGAGUCGGUUUAAGGAUACGUUCGUUGGGUAGGGGAGCGUUCUGUAAGCCUGUGAAGGUGUGUCGUGAGGCAUGCUGGAGGUAUCAGAAGUGCGAAUGCUGACAUAAGUAACGAUAAAGCGGGUGAAAAGCCCGCUCGCCGGAAGACCAAGGGUUCCUGUCCAACGUUAAUCGGGGCAGGGUGAGUCGACCCCUAAGGCGAGGCCGAAAGGCGUAGUCGAUGGGAAACGGGUUAAUAUUCCCGUACUUGGUGUUACUGCGAAGGGGGGACGGAGAAGGCUAUGUUGGCCGGGCGACGGUUGUCCCGGUUUAAGCGUGUAGGCUGGUUUUCCAGGCAAAUCCGGAAAAUCAAGGCUGAGGCGUGAUGACGAGGCACUACGGUGCUGAAGCAAC
RNAcentral lists this ribosomal RNA (964 nucleotides) under Salmonella enterica. RNAcentral's name for it is "partial 23S ribosomal RNA". It matches the Rfam family "Bacterial large subunit ribosomal RNA", at positions 711 to 1594 of the family's 2925-position model. The record is from RNAcentral. Lineage: Bacteria; Pseudomonadati; Pseudomonadota; Gammaproteobacteria; Enterobacterales; Enterobacteriaceae.